Molecule: ribosomal RNA, 334 nt
Filed under: uncultured eukaryote
Lineage: Eukaryota
Description: partial 18S ribosomal RNA
Rfam family: Eukaryotic small subunit ribosomal RNA
Source: RNAcentral
CCCUUAGAUGUCCGGGGCUGCACGUGCGCUACACUGACUGGCUCAGCGUGUGCCUACCCUACGCCGGCAGGCGCGGGUAACCCGUUGAACCCCAUUCGUGAUGGGGAUCGGGGAUUGCAAUUAUUCCCCAUGAACGAGGAAUUCCCAGUAAGUGCGGGUCAUAAGCUUGCGUUGAUUAAGUCCCUGCCCUUUGUACACACCGCCCGUCGCUACUACCGAUUGGAUGGUUUAGUGAGGCCCUCGGAUCGGCCCCGCCGGGGUCGGCCCACGGCCCUGGCGGAGCGCUGAGAAGACGGUCGAACUUGACUAUCUAGAGGAAGUAAAAGUCGUAACA